This 501-nucleotide ribosomal RNA is filed under the name uncultured bacterium. RNAcentral describes it as "bacterial SSU rRNA". It matches the Rfam family "Bacterial small subunit ribosomal RNA", at positions 15 to 518 of the family's 1533-position model. The record is from RNAcentral.
GAUUCUGGCUCAGGAUGAACGCUGGCGGCGUGCUUAACACAUGCAAGUCGAACGGGAACUCUAGACUGAAGGUUCGCUGGAUGUUUAGAAAUUUUAGUGGCGGACGGGUGAGUAACGCGUGGGAAACCUGCCCUAUACAGGGGGAUAGCCUCGGGAAACCGGGAUUAAUACCCCAUAAAGCUCUAGAAUCGCAUGAUUCAAGGGUCAAAACUCCGGUGGUAUAGGAUGGUCCCGCGUCCCAUUAGCUAGUUGGUGAGGUAACGGCCCACCAAGGCGACGAUGGGUAGCCGGCCUGAGAAAGUGAACGGCCACACUGGAACUGAGACACGGUCCAGACUCCUACGGGAGGCAGCAGUGGGGAAUAUUGCACAAAUGGGGGAAACCCUGAUGCAGCGACGCCGCGUGAGCGAAGAAGGCCUUCGGGUCGUAAAGCUCUGUCCUAAGGGAAGAAAAGACGGUACCUUAGGAGGAAGCCCCGGCUAACUACGUGCCAGCCGCAGC